RNAcentral lists this long non-coding RNA (230 nucleotides) under Gallus gallus (chicken). Lineage: Eukaryota; Metazoa; Chordata; Aves; Galliformes; Phasianidae. The record is from RNAcentral.
GUUUGCUUUUAAAUAUCUUCUGUAAGAACAGACAGUCAGCACAUAGUGUGAAACAUAACCACACGGGCCGGGCUCCCGGCAGCGGCCUCCGGCCCCCUCAGCUGCGGCACACGGGGGCGGCCGCAGCGGCCUCCGCCUCCUGCACCCGCCGGCUCCGGGCUCCCCCCGCCGCCGCCUCCCACCGCCCCGCUGCUGCCCCCUCCGCCGCCGCUGCAGCAGCGGCCAUCUUG